Small nuclear RNA from Myotis lucifugus (little brown bat), 134 nucleotides. Ensembl annotates it as U11 spliceosomal RNA. Lineage: Eukaryota; Metazoa; Chordata; Mammalia; Chiroptera; Vespertilionidae. The record is from Ensembl.
AAAAAGGGCUUCUGUCAUGAGUGGCACAUGCAGAGCAGCUUGAUUGCUCUAUGUGUGGAAUCGACAUCAAGAGAUUUCGGAAGAAUUAGUUUUUGGUCCUUGGGCAGCUGGUAAUCAUUGGUCCUGGUGCCUGC